This 750-nucleotide ribosomal RNA is filed under the name Bacillus subtilis. RNAcentral describes it as "bacterial SSU rRNA". It matches the Rfam family "Bacterial small subunit ribosomal RNA", at positions 50 to 783 of the family's 1533-position model. The record is from RNAcentral. Lineage: Bacteria; Bacillati; Bacillota; Bacilli; Caryophanales; Bacillaceae.
AAUACUGCAGUUCGAGCGGACAGAUGGGAGCUUGCUCCCUGAUGUUAGCGGCGGACGGGUGAGUAACACGUGGGUAACCUGCCUGUAAGACUGGGAUAACUCCGGGAAACCGGGGCUAAUACCGGAUGGUUGUUUGAACCGCAUGGUUCAAACAUAAAAGGUGGCUUCGGCUACCACUUACAGAUGGACCCGCGGCGCAUUAGCUAGUUGGUGAGGUAACGGCUCACCAAGGCGACGAUGCGUAGCCGACCUGAGAGGGUGAUCGGCCACACUGGGACUGAGACACGGCCCAGACUCCUACGGGAGGCAGCAGUAGGGAAUCUUCCGCAAUGGACGAAAGUCUGACGGAGCAACGCCGCGUGAGUGAUGAAGGUUUUCGGAUCGUAAAGCUCUGUUGUUAGGGAAGAACAAGUACCGUUCGAAUAGGGCGGUACCUUGACGGUACCUAACCAGAAAGCCACGGCUAACUACGUGCCAGCAGCCGCGGUAAUACGUAGGUGGCAAGCGUUGUCCGGAAUUAUUGGGCGUAAAGGGCUCGCAGGCGGUUUCUUAAGUCUGAUGUGAAAGCCCCCGGCUCAACCGGGGAGGGUCAUUGGAAACUGGGGAACUUGAGUGCAGAAGAGGAGAGUGGAAUUCCACGUGUAGCGGUGAAAUGCGUAGAGAUGUGGAGGAACACCAGUGGCGAAGGCGACUCUCUGGUCUGUAACUGACGCUGAGGAGCGAAAGCGUGGGGAGCGAACAGGAUUAGCA